AUCCAGCUGACAAGUCCCAUAUAGGACGAAUCGCAUGUCCUGGAU
RNAcentral lists this non-coding RNA (45 nucleotides) under Schistosoma mansoni. The record is from RNAcentral. Lineage: Eukaryota; Metazoa; Platyhelminthes; Trematoda; Strigeidida; Schistosomatidae.